GAAUGCUGACAUAAGUAACGAUAAAGCGGGUGAAAAGCCCGCUCGCCGGAAGACCAAGGGUUCCUGUCCAACGUUAAUCGGGGCAGGGUGAGUCGACCCCUAAGGCGAGGCCGAAAGGCGUAGUCGAUGGGAAACAGGUUAAUAUUCCUGUACUUGGUGUUACUGCGAAGGGGGGACGGAGAAGGCUAUGUUGGCCGGGCGACGGUUGUCCCGGUUUAAGCGUGUAGGCUGGUUUUCCAGGCAAAUCCGGAAAAUCAAGGCUGAGGCGUGAUGACGAGGCACUACGGUGCUGAAGCGACAAAUGCCCUGCUUCCAGGAAAAGCCUCUAAGCAUCAGGUAACAUCAAAUCGUACCCCAAACCGACACAGGUGGUCAGGUAGAGAAUACCAAGGCGCUUGAGAGAACUCGGGUGAAGGAACUAGGCAAAAUGGUGCCGUAACUUCGGGAGAAGGCACGCUGAUAUGUAGGUGAAGCGACUUGCUCGUGGAGCUGAAAUCAGUCGAAGAUACCAGCUGGCUGCAACUGUUUAUUAAAAACACAGCACUGUGCAAACACGAAAGUGGACGUAUACGGUGUGACGCCUGCCCGGUGCCGGAAGGUUAAU
This 604-nucleotide ribosomal RNA is filed under the name Escherichia coli. Its description in RNAcentral is "partial 23S ribosomal RNA". It matches the Rfam family "Bacterial large subunit ribosomal RNA", at positions 1292 to 1881 of the family's 2925-position model. Lineage: Bacteria; Pseudomonadati; Pseudomonadota; Gammaproteobacteria; Enterobacterales; Enterobacteriaceae. The record is from RNAcentral.